AGAAGUAAACCUACAAAUCAUAAUUUGAAAGAUUAAGUUCCUUUAACACUUCCUUUGUUCAAUAAUCAGCAUAUGGACAGAUGGUAUCUCUGAAUGGAGGUAAUAUUGACAGUCUGAGUCACACCAUCAAAACUCAUUCUGUGCAAGGAUAUCCUUUCAGAGGCACUUCACACAAUUGGCCUCUGGUAGGGAAGAACAGCAAUAUGGGAUACAAUGCACCUCUCCCCCUGCCCUCCCCCCAAAAAAGGUGGGAUGUCGUAACUUUACUAUGGGAUUUUGAUAUUUAGGGUGGAAAUGAAGAUUAUCAUGCUAAUUUUAACAAAAUAGUUGUGGACUGAUUUCUGUUGCAGCUAACAUAGCAGCAUUCUGACAGAAGAGCAAUUGAGUUGGCCCCAGGACUCUACUUCACCCUCUGUGCUCACAGAACUACCAGAAAUCAGCUAACUUCCUCCACAUUCAGUUAGAAAUGCUUUGGUUCACUAACAGGAUCCAGAAUAACACAGGUCUGGUCCCAAAUCUGUGGUUAGCAGUUGUUUAGCUUAAGCAAAGUCUACAAGUCAGUGAUGAUCUGAAGUCUACUCUUAGGGGAAGAAAGGGGACAGGGGAAACAAACAAACAAACUCUAAAAAACAGAAGUCCCACAAACUUACUCUUAAUAGCACUUAAAAAUGUAUUAAAAGCCCAAGUGCCUGAAUUCAAUGCAGCAUUUGGACACCACUAACUCACUUUAUGGAAUACCAAGAACCAGAAUGAUAUUUGAUUUCCUCCUCUUAUUUCCAGCCAUCUUGAGACUGUUGCGUUGGAAGAGGAUGAAACAACAGAAUUUAAUUCCCAGUGGCUGUGAUAUCUUAAAGACUGAAUCAAAUGUCCCUUCUUGCCACACCAGCAGGUAGGACCACUGAUUUCCCAAGAUUGUUCCUCUCCCUGAGUUUCAAUUAUUAGCUGCUGCCAUUACAGGAAGGCAUGCAGCCAUAUCAUAUCAGUCCAGCAUCAAGAUAACAGAAAGGAGUAUUUUAGAAACUUGUGGCACCUUCUGCACUUUCCCACCUGUGAUACUGUGUAGAUUAACUUCAGUUACAGUGAAAUAAGCCUGACCAAAAUCAGAAGCAAUGAAUUGCACUUGAUCUUGCUACAAUUGCUUGCUUCAGCAUUUCACAUUUUAGUGACCAAUAAUCUGAGAUAUCUAAUCAAAUAUUUAUGCAAAGCAAACUACUAAGUGGCCAGCCCAUGUGUUACAGAUUCCUUCCUAAGGUCUGCUUCCAACGGUAUCAUGAAUCCUGGACUGAGAGCUUGCUUUAUAGGGAAUAUCUUCAGCUACUGCUUAAACUGAGCUUUUUGGAAGGAGAGUUGGAGACUUCUUGUGACCAGGCCAUGGUACCCUCUGGAAAAGCAGAUGACUAAUCAGUUACAAGAUAAUUCCAACCACAAAAGGCAAAAGCCUCUUCCUGAAAAAGCUCAGAAGAAUACGGUUGGAGGAGGAGUCAGCUGUGUCUACCUCAGGGUCUCUGAGUGUUUCAGAGUGACUGUUUCAUUGAUACAAUGAAACCAGAGGGGGAAAAAAACAAAAACAGAACAACUUGAAUUCAGUGCAAGCCUCAGAAGCAUCCGAAGUGACAAAUCUGAUGAGAGGCAGCAGAGAAGCUGUUACUGAACAGCUCCUAUUAAAAAAGGAUAGCUACUGGCACAGCCUUGUAGCUUUCUUGCACUGUACACUGAACAUUAAAAUCAUGCAGGUAAUCCUUGUGCUUGCUCCUCUGGUGCCAGAAGUUGUAAACAAUUCAACCAUGAGAGGAAAACAAGAUAUUAGCACUACUCAAGGAAGCAUCACCUCUAAAAACAGCACAUCUUACAGAUGUGGAAGGCAGCUGCAGCCAGGUUAAUGCUCAUCUCAGUCCCUCUGCAGAAGUGCAACAGCCUUCUGCAUGUGGUUAUGUUUGGCUGCUACAUUCAGUUUCUCCAUGAUUCAUGCAACAUAACUGCAAUGAAAAGUGGAUAUUUUAUGUUUCUUAUGUCUGGCCAAUCAGGUCUGUAAGGAAUCUAUUGUAGGAACAGUAUCUUUAAAGGAGACUGAUGGAGGGUUAUGUUGUUUAACAGUUUAAUUCAAAAAUCUAAAAGAAACAGUUGGGCAACAUUCACUGAACAGACCCAGGGGAGCUCAAGGCAAGGCAGGGUGGGACUGAACUUCCCAGAUACCAUCAUUCUGUAGAGUAGAUUCUGCAACUAAAUUUGCACUGCCACUUUGGCUUUGCUCACCUGCCUAGGCAUAAGUAGUGCAGCUGACCUUUUAGGUUUCUUCACAAAUAUAACAACGUAAUGGAUCAUUUACAGCAUGACUGGGUACCUGAAAAACUGGCUCCUAAUCUCACUGGAUAAGCACUUAAAGAAAAAUGACCUAACAGUAAUUUUUCUUCCUUUCAUGUGUAUCAUCCAUAUGCUGAAGUGUGUACUGUGAUCACAAGUCUUCAGUCACUGGAACCAUGCCAGAGACAAACUGAAGGCAAAACAGAUGUUAGCCUCUGCAUAAACAAGGUUGAAAACCUUUGUGUGUGUGUGUGAUGUACACUGCCAGCCUCGGGAGACCUGCUAACACAAGCUAUGGCAAGGCUGGCUUUCUGCAGGAGAUCGUAAGCACUGAUGGUACAAAAUGUUGGCUUAGGGAAUGGCAUUUGUUGGAGAUCUACAAGACAGAUUUCAAAAAUUAAAAAUAAAUCAAUGCUUUUGUCCAGUUUGAAUCACACACCACCACUCCAAGCUUAAUCCUUCCACUUUCUUUUUUCUUCUUCUUUUGUUCUUCACAUACUUUUUCUUAAAUGUCCUGUACGUGCCAGAAAGAAUAGAGAGGCCUCAGCAUUCAUCUUUGGCAAGAGAGCAUUCAGACCUAAGUUUCAAAUAAAACAGAAAGAUCCACAACAGACUGAUUAAAUCAUGGAAUUAGAACCACCAGACCGAUGAUCUCUGGAGAAAAGCCUGUCAUCUUAUAUUGUAGACUAAUACUUGUGACACUUGGGAUAUGAGGCAUCAUUUUUAUUUUUUUUUCCCCUAAAAUUCAAAUGAAGCCACACCAAAAAUCUUUCCUUUCAUAAAAGGUUUCUACUCCCUGUAAUAAACAGGAAUCUGAAAUUAUGCUUUCUGUAAUUCAUGCACGAAAGAUUCUAUGUCUUGAAAAUAAAAAAUAAAAAUAAGGGCUGAGAUGCACUGUACUUCUCGCCAUCCUCAACUCUUAAGUUGCUCACAUGUGCCAAGUGCUUCAGGUCAGGCAGUCAUCCAAAAAUGGUGCCUUAUAAAGUUUCUCAAAACCUCCUCAGGCAGUUGUAUGUCUCUAUGCCUUCCAGGGAGGCUUUGCAUUUGUCUGGAACAUGUUGUAACAGCAAGGCUGCUUUGUUGGCCCUGCACAGACCUUUAUUUCUCCCCUACUUUCUCCCACGUUGGAAAAGAAUCUGAAUUCAAAUACUGCACUGCAAACAUUAUACCAUAUUAAGAAGGACCACAGUCAUAGCUUAGGUUUUUACAUUUUCACUCAGUGCAUAUAUAUGGGAUGUAAUGAGGGAGAGGUAAAGAAGAUGUUGGAGUGGUUUGUUAUGACUGACAUUAAAUUCAUCUACAGGAUCAGAAACCAAGCAGGAAAACCCCAGUCAGUUGGGCCAGUCAAAUCAACAGAGCUUCCUUUUACACGCAGCAACCUCAGCAUGUCUCAGAUUUACAUUUCAAAAUUGCCUUCUGUGCUCCUUGUGCACUAGGCCUAAGCUGCUAAAGUUUCACUUGAGAGAAUCUGUUUACAGCCAACGCCUUCUCACAGGAAAAAGCAGGUGACAGCCCAUCCAAUAACUUGGUCUGCUUCUGCAACCCUAUUUGGGCCAACUCCUCCAGCAGAACAGCUACCCUUACAGCCUGGCUACCAACAGCCUGCAUCUGUAUGUACCUCCAUACCAUACGCAUGGUAUGAAGGUACAUAUGCUUCGACAUAUCAGCACUAGCAGCUAGGAUGAGCUGGAAACCCAGAAACGAGGCAAUGGGAAGUUGAGGAAGAAAGACAAACUGUGCAAUGUAGCAACUUGCACCUGCAGGGAAACUCAUUCUCAGAAAAAAGGCAACUAAGUUUGUCCCCAGCACUCAUUCGCAGGAAAUCCUUUAUUUUGGAACACAAGGAGCAAGGAGAAGUUUGCAGGACUGACUCCCAUUAAAAGGUCACAUCAGGCAGUGACAGUAUUUUGCAAAAAAUAAAAUAAAUUAGGCUUAGAAAAUAGAAUUUCUCGAAACACACGAGGCAAAUCUCUUGGAGGAAGAACAGCUAAUUAAACUAAAUGCCAGUGUUGGCAUGAGCACAAAUAGUUUAAGAUGGUCAUGAGUGUAUUUGCACAGAAGUUCAGAGGACUACAGAGUUAAGUUUGGGUAACGGAGAAAGAAAACCAAUUAACUCUCAAGAGGAACUUAAGUUCUUAGUUAAGAAUCUAAAACAUGGGUGCCUGCAGUGUUAAGGCCUGAGCUUAAACGCACUCAAGGCAACUUGUUGUCAAUGUAAUUCUUGACAGGACAAAAGGAAAGAGAUCUUCCAGUAAGAUAUGCAUAUCUGUAGCCAAUCCAGCUGCUCUUUCUCGAGGUGUUAUCAAAGCCUUUUCAAAACGAUACCAGCUAGAUGUACACAGCAUAUCACAGUUCCAGCAGUCCCAGAGACUAAACUGAAGAGCAGUAUUUGCCAACAACAUGAGUUUUUAGCCAGUGGGAGGCAGAUUUUAUCUAGCUGGUCGCAAAGUGGAAGCUGGUG
This is a long non-coding RNA of Tympanuchus pallidicinctus (lesser prairie-chicken), 4762 nucleotides long. RefSeq lists it as uncharacterized. Lineage: Eukaryota; Metazoa; Chordata; Aves; Galliformes; Phasianidae. The record is from RefSeq and is a predicted model, not a curated record. The transcript has 3 exons.